AUGGAUGCAAGUAGCGGGCGCCCUAUAAGUACGCGCCGGAUGAAUCACAUCCAUCACAGAUUCAAGCGUCUCAAUCAACCUCACCAUCCCAAUUCCCAAGCUUCAUGGAAGAACGACUCACUGCACUUCUGCGGUUGGUCCGGUGUUACUUGCAGCAAGAGACACGCGCCUCGUGUCGUUGCGCUGGACCUCGAGUCGUUUAAUCUCGAUGGCCAAAUACCUGCUUGCAUUGGCAACCUCACUUUCCUCACAAGAAUGCACGUCCCCAACAAUCAACUCGGUGGUCAAAUUCCACCUGAAAUUGGCCAACUAAAUCGGUUGCGGUACCUUAACCUCAGCUCAAACUAUCUUAGUGGAGUGAUCCCAAGCACUCUGUCUUCAUGCUUUCACCUUCAAAUUGUUGAUCUUGGAAGCAACUCCCUUGAUGGAGUGAUCCCCCAAAGCCUGAGCCAAUGUUCAGAUAUGCAGCAGCUCUACUUGGGUCGCAACAAGCUGAGUGGAGGUAUCCCGCAAGGAUUGGGGACGCUCCGCAACCUCUCACUUCUACAUCCUGCUACAAAUAGCGUGACGGGCAACAUCCCGACUGCACUUGGGAGCAGCUCUUCUCUUCGCUCUGUUGUUCUUGUGAACAAUAGCCUCACUGGACAUAUCCCGCCUCUCCUCGCUAAUAGUUCAUCCCUUCAACUUCUGGACUUAACAAACAAUCACAUGACCGGUGAGAUUCCUUCUGCGUUGCUUAACAGCAUGUCGCUUCAAAAAUUAUCACUAGGAUUGAACAACUUUGUCGGGUCCAUACCAGCUUUGUCGAACAUUGGCCCACCCUUGCAAUAUCUUAAAUUGCAAUCAAACAAUCUUUCUGGCACCAUACCUUCUUCUUUAGGGAAUUUUUCUUCGCUUCGCUACCUCUUGCUUGGAGAUAAUAAUUUCCAAGGUAGAAUCCCAAUGAGUAUAGGCAAUAUUCUGUACCUGAGUACUAGAUCUCACUUAUAA
RNAcentral lists this ribosomal RNA (990 nucleotides) under Triticum aestivum (bread wheat). RNAcentral's name for it is "partial small subunit ribosomal RNA". The record is from RNAcentral. Lineage: Eukaryota; Viridiplantae; Streptophyta; Magnoliopsida; Poales; Poaceae.